Molecule: non-coding RNA, 29 nt
Filed under: Rattus norvegicus (Norway rat)
Lineage: Eukaryota; Metazoa; Chordata; Mammalia; Rodentia; Muridae
Source: RNAcentral
GAGCUGACUGUAAAUUAUGCAGAGAGAGC